Paramuricea clavata is the source of this 73-nucleotide non-coding RNA. NCBI's taxonomy places the organism in Eukaryota, Metazoa, Cnidaria, Anthozoa, Malacalcyonacea, Plexauridae. The record is from the annotation of a GenBank genome assembly.
GACUUCGUAGCUCAGUUGGUAGAGCAUUGGACUAGUAUCGCAAAGGUCGUGGGUACGAUUCCCACCGUGGUCG